CCGCCGGCCGGCCGGGCCCCACACCUGCCGGGCCCGGGAAGGGCCAGCCCUGGGCAGAGGUGUUGCCCGACGCGGCGGCUCAGCGCCCCGCUCAUUGGCCGAGGAUCAGGCCCUCCCCCUCCUCGGCGGCGUCCUGACCAAACCCGGAGGGGAUCCUCCCGAGGCCCUUCACCCCGAGGAGCCAGUCCUGCAGCUGCCCUGACUCCUGGGGCUGGCGGCUGAGGCCCAGAGCCUGGGCAGGAGGCCAGGGGCAGAAAGGGAGGCCGCAGCCGGGGCCGGUGGCCUGAGGAGUGCGGGCCGGAGGCCUUCCCUAGGAGGAUUCCGCUGACAGGAAUGGGAGCCAUGAAAGAGAAGAAAAUGGUCAAGAAAGGAAGCUUGCAUGGUAAGGUCAAAGUUCACAGUUCUGCCUAGAGCUGACCAGCCCUCUGAUAACUUUUUUUUUUCCUUAUAGGAGAGGGUGGCUCCUAUUUUUAUCUCCUGUCUUCUUUUAGAAGAAUCUCCUCAUGCCCUCUCAGCCAGUUAAACAUACAAUUAAGAUCAUACAAUGGAUCUCAAAUGGGUCAGGUUGCCUUUCAGGGCCAUUUGGCAGAAUGUCUGGAGACAUUUUGGUUAUCACACUGGGAGGGUAGGUGCUGCUGACAUCCAGUAGGUAGAGACCGAGGAUGCUGCUACAAUGCACAAGAGAGUCACCCACUGCAAAGAAUGAUCCUGCUUAAAAUGUCAAUAGUGUGGAAAUCGAAGUAACAGCAGUAGACCAACUGUGCAAAUGCAGCUUCAGGGCAAGUCUCAGUCUCCUUUCCCACCAGGCUGCUGGCCCUAAAUUCCUCCUCUGCAGAAAUUCUGGAGACAUGACUGAUGCUUUAUCAGAGACAUGGUACCCUCUGAACUCAUCUCACCCUAGGCUAGUCACAAGGUGUUAUCAACAUACUACUAAAUUAUUAAGGAUGACUAACCAGGCUUACUAGUGACUGGGGAACAGCUCCUAUCUCGCCAUAGCAGGGAGAAUCACCAUCCAUGUUCUCUCCCCUCUCCUUCCCAGCCACAUCUCUGCAGGGGGAGGCUGAUGGAGAAACUCCUUUAAGGAGAGUGCCAGCUCUGGCACUAACAUGCUUUGUGACCUUGAACAAGUCUCCCUGUUCCGUGCCUCAGUUUCUUCAUUAUACAUAAUGAGGGGACCAGCUCAUCUCUACAGAUCUUUCCAGCUCUGACAUCUGAUUCUUUAGUUCUACACCUCCACCAAGCAGAUUGAAAUGCUUAUUUCUGAUCCAGCCCCCAAACAAGUGAUUUAGGGUACCAAGAAGGUCGUGGGCCAGGCACAACUUCAGCUGUUUUGUCUUUGGAUGGGUCCUAGUUGUCUCCUCAGUGAGGACUGAGAACAGCUGGAGCAGCUAGUAGUUAAGACCAACCUCCCCAUCCCCUGUCCUUGGUGCCAAGAGCUGCUGCUAGGCGGUGUCCCCAUCUGAUAGCCAAUAUGGUUGAGGAGGGCCACAAGACAAGGUCCCAAGAGCAUCUCAAACUGAGGAUUCAUUCAGCUCCUCAGCAGAUACUAAGAUGUUGGAGCUUUGGCUGCCCCUGGCCUUUCUGGAAGUUGUGUUACAAGGGCAGAAACCCAAUCAAACUGACUUAAAAGGAAUAGUUGGCAGGUGUGCCUGAGAGGAACUGAGAUGGGAAUACCAGUUGUAGGAAAGGUUUGAUCCAGCAGCUCACAUAUCACCAAAGACUCAGCUUUCUGUAUGCUGCCUCCCACUUUGCCGACUACAUCUUAAGGCCGGCUUCUCUGAUGGGCCCAGGUGGUAGGCAGCAGUCCCAGGGGUUCAGCCUCAGGAGUUUGCCCCUGCAGGAAAGAGAAAGUCAGCCACUCCAUUCCUCAACAACAGUCCUGAGAUUGAGUCUUUGGAUCUGAUUGGCUCACUAAGGAUUGUGGGCCUUCCUUGAUCAAGCUCUGUGUCCUGGAGAAUACGGUUUAUUUACUGGUGGGGGCAGUUAGCAAAUAUCACUUCACAAACUCCUCCCAAAGAGUUAAUCUGUGCCUGGCACAUGGUGGGCACUUUCUUCAUCCAUAAGUCAACAGCUAUUUAGUGAGCAACUACUAUGUGCAAGAAAUUAUGCUAGAUGCUGGUGAAAAGGCAGUGAACAAGAAGACAAGGUCCCUGCCCUCAUAGCCUAGCCGGGGUGACAGACGCCCAAACAACCGAAGACAGUACAAUGUCAUUUAGUGCCACAGGAGGUUACAUGAGCCCAGAGGAGAGACCCGAAAUUGUUCUUACGUGAAAGGGAUACAAGAUCAGGGAAAGCUUUAAACAAGAAGUGACAUUUAAAUUGAGAUUCAAGGGGGCACCUGGGUGGCUCAGUCGGUUAAGCAUCCGACUUCAGCUCAAGUUAUGAUCUCAUGGUUGGUGAGUUCAAACCUCUCGUUCGUUGGGCUCUGUGCUGACAGCUCAGAACCUGGAGCCUGCUUCAGAUUCUCUGUUUCCCUUUCUUUCUGCUCCUCCCCUGCUCACACUCUGUCUCUCUCAAAAAUUAAACAUUUAAAAAAUUUUUAAAAAGAGUCUUUUGUGUUUUGUCCUGCUCUGUUUUUAUAUUACUUUUGCUUUCCUUUCCUUAUGUUCAUCUGUUUUGUAUCUUAAAUUUCUCAUAUGAGUGAAGUCAUAUAUUUGUCUUUCUCUGACUAAUUUCGCUUAGCCUGAUACCCUCCAGUUCCAUCCACGUAGUUGCAAGUGGCAAGAUUUCAUUCUUUUUGGUUGCCGAAUAAUACUCCAUUGUAUAUAUAUACCACAUCUUCUUUAUCCAUUCAUCCAUCGAUGGACGUUUGGGCUCUUUCCAUACUUUGGCUAUUGUUGAUAGUGCUGCUAUAAACAUGGGGGUGUAUGUGCCCCUUCGAAACAGCACAACUGUCUCCCUUGGAUAAAUGCCUAGUAGUGCAAUUGCUGGGUCAUAGGGUAGUUCUAUUUUUAAUUUUUUGAGGAACUUCCAUACUGUUUUCCAAAGUGGCUGCACCAGUUUGCAUUCCCACCAACAACGCAAAGGAGAUCCUCUUUCUCUCCCUCCUCGCCAACAUCUGCUGUUGCCUGAAUUGUUAAUGUUAGCUGUUCUGACAGGUGUGAGGUGGUAUCUCAUUGUGGCUUUGAUUUAUGUUUCCCUGAUGAUGAGUGAGGUUGAACAUUUUUUCAUGUGUCGAUUGGCCAUCUGGAUGUCUUUGGAGAAGUGUCUAUUCAUGUCUUUUGUCGAUUUCUUCACUGGAUUAUUUGUUUUUUGGGGUGUUGAGUUUGCUAAGUUCUUUAUAGAUUUUGGAUACUAACCCUUUAUCUGAGAUGUCAUUUGCAAAUAUCUUCUCCCAUUCCAUUGGUUGCCUUUUGGUUUUGUUGAUUGCUUCCUUCACUGUGCAGAAGCUUUUUAUUUUGAUGAAGUCCCGAUAGUUCAUUUUUGCUUUUGUUUCCCUUGCCUCUGGAGACGUGUGGAGUAAGAAGUUGCUGUGGCUGAGGUCAAAGAGGUUUUUGCCUGCUUUCUCCUCUGGGAUUUUGAUGGCUUCCUGUCUUACGUUUAGGUCUUUCAUCUAUUUUGAGUUUGUUUUUGUGUCUGGUGUAAGAAAGUGGUCCAGGUUCGUUCUUCUGCAUGUCGCUGUCCAGUUUUCUCAACACCACUUGCUGAAGAGACUGUCUUUAUUCCACUGAUAUUCUUUCCUGCUUUGUCGAAGAUUAGUUGGCCAUACGUUUGAGGGUUCCUGUUCCUGUUUCUUAAUAGGGCCCAACCCCAGUUGAAGGGGGCAGAGGUGUGCUGAUCAGCCUUAAACGUCCAACAUGAGGCAGGAGCCAGAUCCUGCAGGGUCCGGUAGACCCUGUUAUGGAUCUUGAGAUAAAAGUGAGUCAUCGAAGUUGUUUUUUUAAAUUGUGGUAAAAUAUAUAUAACAUAAAGUUGACUUUUUUUUGUUUUUAACCUUAAGUAAGUCUCCACAUCCAGCAUGGGGCUUGAACUGACGACCCUGAGAUCAAGAGUCACAUGCUCCACUGAAUGAGCCAGCCAGGUGCCCCAAAGUUGAUCAUUUUUAAGGGUACAGUUCAGUGUUAAGUACAUUCACAGUGUGGCACAGCCAUCACCAUCCAUCUCCAGAACUCCUUCAUCUUCCGAAACUGAACCUCUGUCCCCGUUAAGCACUAACUCCCCAUCCCCUCUCCUUCUCAGCCUCUGGCAACUGCCAUCCUACUUUCUGUCUCUAUGAACUUGCCUGUUCCAGGUAACUCAUAAAAACACUGUAUGAUAUUUAAGCGUAUUUGUCCUUUUGUGUCUGCCUUCUUUCACUUAGCAUAAUGCCUUCAAUUCAUGCAUCAAGCGUCAGCAUUUCUUCGUGUUAAGGCUGAAUAAUCUUCCAUUGUAUGUACACACCACAUUUUGCUUACCCAUUCAUCCUUCCAUCACCGACGGGGUUUAAGUAGAGAUUUUAAACAUGAUCAGAUUUGCAGUUUAAAAGAUCACUUAGCUGCCAGGUGGAGGUUGGACCAAGGGUGGCGGAGGAACGGCGGGAAGUUGGCUGCAAAGGUCUAGGCCAGAGGCGAUGGGUGGUGGCGUAGAUGAGGCUGUGACCAGGAAAGAGGGGACAAUUAGACUGAAGGGCAGGUGGGAGAUUGUACAGGAUCUGGGGUUUGGAAAUUUGGCAUGAGAAGGAGGAAUUGUCAAAGAAUGUGGGGCUGACCUCAGUUUUCCUUAAGGACCCAGAUCUGAGGGAGUCCGCUGAGCUGAAGAUAAGAUGUCCUCUCCUCACAUGUCAGAGCUUCCUUCUCACCAGCCCUACCUUCUGGGGAACACAGACUGAGCCACCGAGAAACUUUCUCAUAAGCUGGCUUUCCCUGUGGCCUUCUAACAGAGAGAGGGCACGCCAACAGGGGAACAGAGGCACAGAGCAGUUCAAGAACCUUACCGAAGCUACACAGCCCUAAAUGGCAGACCUGGAAGGGAGGCCCAGCAGUCUGGCGGUAAGUGGUUAAGCGACCACUGUGCCACGCCGCCCCUCGAAAGCUAAUGCCAAGCGCCUAGAUUUGAGGCCUUUGUGACUACGAGCCCAGGGACAAAUGGGCCUCUUUGCUUUCCUGUCCCUGUGAUUGACUGUCUCUCCCAAAUAGUCAAACACCUCAAAGGAGUGAAGAGAUGUGUGAGGGAGGGAGAACCAGAACGGCAAGAGAAGAGGUGAGCAGAGGGGUAAUCACAGGCCUGGUUUCCCUGUCACCCGCCUCCCCACACCAGAAGCCCGGGGAGAGCAUCUCCUCUCCCAGGCUGGCUCUGGCCCUGCCCCUCGGACGAACAGGCCCUGUCCUGCCUGGAAGCUCAUCCCUUCCCAUCCCCGGUACGAGUCAGCUCUGCUCCUGGAGGUUAAGGGGACGGGGCCACCGUGUUUACCAGGACUCGAGCAGGACACACGUCUUUGGCUCCGUCACCCACAGGAGCGCUUGCUGCUGUUGGCAGACGGUUUUGAGUCCCUGCCCGGCUGCUCCCUGCUGUGAGGCCUGGGGCAACUUACUUGACCUCUCACCAGCCUCAAUUUCUCUGUAUAUUAAGUGGAGGUACUAAAAGUACAGGUAGGGAUUGAACGCAACAGUGUGGGUGAUGCAUUUGGCACUGUGGCCCUCAAAGCAGGGUAACUGGUAUGUCAUUAUCAUCAUCAUCAUCAUCAUCAUCAUCAUCAUCAUCAUCAUCCUGCCACCCUCAUCCUCUUCAGGGUCAUGGGAGGCUUGGAGAGAUGGGCUGAAAGGCAUUCAGAGUCUUGGCUGCCAGGAUGCCUUUCUAAUCAGCACCAACGUCAGACUCCAGCUAUUAAUACCCAGCCAGCCCCACCAGUCCGUAGAUUUAGCGUUCCAAAGAGGAGGUACAGAGGUGGAGAGGGCGGGUCUGGGGAACAGGUGGCUGAGGACUGGAGAAGGAGCCCUUUCUCUGUGGGAACAACCCUUCCCAGCCUCGCAGGCCGACUUGGCCUGUCCCCCAGACACCCUCCACCUGUGGUCUAGGGUCUGGGAAGGUGUGAAAUUCCUGCCUGAAGCUGAGCUGCAGGCAGUCAGACUGUCAGUCCCCUAAGGGCACAGCACUGUCCUUCCAGGAAUCCAAUGUCCCGAGUGAGCAGGGCCCCCCACUUGGGCCUCCAGAAAAGACAAACCAGCUCAUGGCAGUGUGGAACGUGAGGGCGGAGAGAGCCCCCGGAGCUCCCAAUCUCUCCUCCUGACUUAGAGCACAGCCUCCCAUACACAGCUGGGUGACGGGGCAGAUGGAUGCGCCCCAGCCUUAGUUUCCUCCUGUUCCCUGGGAAUAAUCAUUUUCAACCCUUUCGCACCAUAGAAACAUUUUCACUCGGCUGUGGAAAGAACAAAUGGAAUGAUUCACCUGGAGCACGGGGCUCAGUGCGCAGUAAGUGUGCGGUGAAGAGAGGCUGUUGGGAGCCCAGUUUCUUCAUCUUAUACAUGACUUCUCGUUCCUUCCUGCAUGAGCGGCGGCAGACUCAAGGAGCAAAGAUCUUCCGGGAAUUUCCCAGUCCCCCACCGGAGCUAAGAAUUCUAUCCAUGAAUGUUUCUUUGUUUUCUUAUACUGAUUAAAAAAAAAUUUUUUUUUAAUGUUUUAUUUAUUCUUGAGGGAAAGAGAGACAGAGUAUGAGCGGGGACGGGGCACAGAGAGAGGGAGACACAUAAUCCAAAGCAGGCUCCAGGCUCUGAGCCAUCAGCCCAGAGCCCGACGCGGGACUCGAACUCAUGAAUCAUGAGAUCAUGACCUGAGCCGAAGUCGGACGCUCAACCGACUGAGCCAUGCAGGCGCCCCUCUUAUACUGAUUUUUGAAAAAUGAAUAACCUAUUUUUCAUUUUUUAAUGUGUAUUUAUUUUGAGAGAGAGAGAGAGACAGAGAGAGAGAGCGUGAGCAGGGUAGAGGCAGAGAGAGGGAGAGAGAAUCCCGAACAGGUGCCACACUGUCAGCAGAGCCCGAUGUGGGGCUUGGCCCCACUAACGGUGAGAUCAUGACCUGAGCCGAAAUCGAGAGCCAGAUGCUUAAAUGACUGAGCCACCCAGGCACCCCUAAUAACCUAUUUUAAAAACAUUAUUUAUUUAUUAAAAUUGUUUUCAAUGUUUAUUAUUUAAUUUCAAGUGAGAGAGAGAGAGAGAGACAGAGAGAGAGAGAGAGAGAGACAGAAUGCGAAUGGGGGAGGAUUAUAGAGAGGGAGGGAGACACAGCAUCUGAAGCAGGCUCCAGGCUCCAAGCUGUCAGCACAGAACCUGAAGAUGCAGGGCUGGAACUCAUGAACUGUGAGAUCAUGACCUGAGCCGAAGUCAGAUGCUUAAGUGACUGAGCCACCCAGGCACCCCAAUAACCUAUUUUUUAGAGCAGUUUUACAUUCACAGCAAAAUUGAGCAGAAGGUGCAGACAGUCCCCAUAUAUCCCCUGUCUCCCCCAUCAAUAUCCACCACCAUCAACAUGAUGCACCAGUGUGGCAUAUUUUUACAAUCAAUGAACCCGCUUUGACAUGUCAUUAUUACCCAAAGUCCUUAGCUCACAUUACAGUUCACUCUUAGCAUGUAAGAGUUUCUAUAAAUGUAUAUGACAUGUAUCUACCAUUAUAGUAUUAUACAGAAUAUUUUUACUGCCCUAAAAAUUCCAUAUGCUUCACUUAUUCAUCUCUCCCUUUCCCCAAACCCCUGGAAACCACUGAACUUUUUACUGUCUCCAUAUUGCCUUCUUCAGGAUGUCAUAAGGUUGGAAUCACAUAAUAUAUAGUCUUUUCAGAUUGGUUUCUUUCACUUAGUAAUAUAAUAUGCCUUUAAAUUUCUUCCAUGUCUUUAUGAGUGGCUUGAUAGCUCGCUCUCUCUCUCUCUCUCUCUCUCUCUCUCUCUCACUCUCUCUCUCUCUUUGUGCUGAAUAAUAUUCCACUGUAUGGUUGUACCAUAGUUUAUUUAUCCAUUCACUUGCUGGAGGACAUUUGGUUGCUUUCAAGUUUUGGCAAUUAUGAGUAAAGCCUCUAUAAAUAUUUACAUGCAGGUUUUUGUGUGGGCAUAAGUUUUCAACUCAUUUGGGCACAUACUGAGGAACCUGAUUCCUGUAUCUUCUGGUAAGAGUAUGUUGAGUUUUAUAAGAAAUUGCCAAACUGGGUUCCAAAGUGGCUGUGCCAUUUUACCUCCCCCCAGAAUGAAUGAGAGUUCCUGUUUCUCCACAUCCUUGCCAGCAUUUGGUGAUGUCAGUGUUUUGAAUUUGGGUCAUUCUAAUGGACGUGUCAUGGUAUCUCAUUUUUGUUUUAAUUUUCAAUUCCCUAAUGACAUAUGAUGUUGAGCAUCUUUUCAUAUGCUUAUUUGCCAUCCAUAUGUCUUCUUUGGUGAGCUCUUCAGAUCUUCUGUCCGUGUUUUAAUUGAGUUGUUCAUUUUCUUAUUGUUGACUUUUAAGCGUUCUUUGCAGACGUUGGGUCACGGUUCUUUAUCAAACAUGUCUUUUGCAAAUAUUUCCUCCCAUCCAUGGCUUGUUUUCUCAUUCUCUGGAUUGAUUUUUAUUACUGAUUCUGUUUUUUUAUUCUUGCGAUUGAAAAAAAAGUAUUCUUAUAAGUAUGUGUUACAUGAAUAGAAUGUAGCUUGGUUUUGCCAGUGCCUUCCUUCAUCUAUGAAGGACCCCACUUUUGUCAGAUGUACCAGGCAGUCUGCAUGUUCAGUAUUGUGGCCCAGAGAGGGAGCGUAACUUGCUUGAGAUCGCACAGCAUGUUUGCUAAGAUGAUAUAUCCCUCUCAUGUGCUUAGCCUUCCCAGUAAUCAGAGAACUGUCUUCUUUGGUCUGUGUGAGACUCCUGGAAUGCUGCUUCUUUUUUCUUAACUUUAAACGAAUUAGGUAGACCGUCAGGUGACAAUAGCAGGUAUUUUUCAUAAAGGAAAAAAGAAAUUAAAAAGGCCUCAUCAUCAUGCCACCUCAAUAAAUCUUUUUCACUUUUCUGACAGUUUUGUCCGUCCGUCUAGCAAAGGCUGGGACGAGGUGUGCACAAAACUGUCAUAGUGAUCAUCGUGGUUUCUUCUUUUUUAUGUUACCUUUUCCCAGGUUUUAGUUUGCAAAAUGAUAUUUGAGAAUGGCUGCUUAAUAUAUUUUUUAAC
This is a long non-coding RNA of Acinonyx jubatus (cheetah), 9088 nucleotides long. RefSeq lists it as uncharacterized. NCBI's taxonomy places the organism in Eukaryota, Metazoa, Chordata, Mammalia, Carnivora, Felidae. The record is from RefSeq and is a predicted model, not a curated record. The transcript has 3 exons.